UGGCUCAGGACGAACGCUGGCGGCGUGCUUCAUACAUGCAAGUCGAACGAGAAAUUACCUUCGGGUAAUGGAAAGUGGCGGACGGGUGAGUAAUGUGUAGAGAAUCUGCCCUUAGGUGGGGGAUAACAGUUGGAAACGACUGCUAAUACCGCAUAAGCGCACAGUACUGCAUGGUACAGUGUGAAAAACUCCGGUGGUAUGAGAUGGACCCGCGUCUGAUUAGCUAGUUGGUGGGGUAACGGCCCACCAAGGCGACGAUCAGUAGCCGACCUGAGAGGGUGACCGGCCACAUUGGGACUGAGACACGGCCCAAACUCCUACGGGAGGCAGCAGUGGGGAAUAUUGCACAAUGGGGGAAACCCUGAUGCAGCGACGCCGCGUGAGCGAAGAAGUAUUUCGGUAUGUAAAGCUCUAUCAGCAGGGAAGAAAAAUGACGGUACCUGACUAAGAAGCACCGGCUAAAUACGUG
Molecule: ribosomal RNA, 469 nt
Filed under: uncultured bacterium
Lineage: Bacteria
Description: bacterial SSU rRNA
Rfam family: Bacterial small subunit ribosomal RNA
Source: RNAcentral